Pelobates cultripes (western spadefoot toad) is the source of this 311-nucleotide non-coding RNA. NCBI's taxonomy places the organism in Eukaryota, Metazoa, Chordata, Amphibia, Anura, Pelobatidae. The record is from the annotation of a GenBank genome assembly.
AGAAAUGGACCUCACGUUCUAUGCUGACCUCUCCCGCUCAACAUUACAGUGGAGGAAGUCGCUGAGUCCCCUGGCAUCCACGCUCACAUCCCAAGGAAUGAAGUAUCGAUGGGGCACACCUCAUAAUGGUGUAGAAUAGAGUCAUGGAGGCAUCUGAAAUGGACGCUAUCCUGUCCUCACUGAGACCAAGAACUAACACUCGACCCACUACCACCACCUGGAACCCCGCUACCGUGGUUCCUCCUGCAUUUCGAGGAACAGCGGGCGCACCUGCCACCUGAAAACGGCAACAUCUUUGUUGGGACUUGGAC